CCUACGGGGGGCAGCAGUGGGGAAUAUUGGACAAUGGGGGCAACCCUGAUCCAGCCAUGCCGCGUGUGUGAAGAAGGCCCUCGGGUUGUAAAGCACUUUCAGUGAGGAAGAACGCCUGGUGGUUAAUACCCAUCAGGAAAGACAUCACUCACAGAAGAAGCACCGGCUAACUCCGUGCCAGCAGCCGCGGUAAUACGGAGGGUGCGAGCGUUAAUCGGAAUUACUGGGCGUAAAGCGCGCGUAGGUGGCUUGAUAAGCCGGUUGUGAAAGCCCCGGGCUCAACCUGGGAACGGCAUCCGGAACUGUCAAGCUAGAGUGCAGGAGAGGAAGGUUGAAUUCCCGGUGUAGCGGUGAAAUGCGUAGAGAUCGGGAGGAAUACCAGUGGCGAAGGCGGCCUUCUGGACUGACACUGACACUGAGGUGCGAAAGCGUGGGUAGCAAACAGGAUUAGAUACCCUAGUAGUC
This 465-nucleotide ribosomal RNA is filed under the name Vreelandella stevensii. RNAcentral's name for it is "partial 16S ribosomal RNA". It matches the Rfam family "Bacterial small subunit ribosomal RNA", at positions 338 to 795 of the family's 1533-position model. Lineage: Bacteria; Pseudomonadati; Pseudomonadota; Gammaproteobacteria; Oceanospirillales; Halomonadaceae. The record is from RNAcentral.